UGGGGAAUAUUGCACAAUGGGCGCAAGCCUGAUGCAGCCAUGCCGCGUGUGUGAAGAAGGCCUUCGGGUUGUAAAGCACUUUCAGCGGGGAGGAAGGCGGUGAGGUUAAUAACCUCAUCGAUUGACGUUACCCGCAGAAGAAGCACCGGCUAACUCCGUGCCAGCAGCCGCGGUAAUACGGAGGGUGCAAGCGUUAAUCGGAAUUACUGGGCGUAAAGCACACGCAGGCGGUCUGUCAAGUCGGAUGUGAAAUCCCCGGGCUCAACCUGGGAGCUGCAUUGGAAACUGGCAGGCUAGAGUCUUGUAGAGGGGGGUAGAAAUCCAGGUGUAGCGGUGAAAUGCGUAGAGAUCUGGAGGAAUACCGGUGGCGAAGGCGGCCCCCUGGACAAAGACUGACGCUCAGGUGCGAAAGCGUGGGGAGCAAACAGG
Molecule: ribosomal RNA, 429 nt
Filed under: Chloroflexota bacterium
Lineage: Bacteria; Bacillati; Chloroflexota
Description: Chloroflexi bacterium partial 16S ribosomal RNA
Rfam family: Bacterial small subunit ribosomal RNA
Source: RNAcentral